RNAcentral lists this ribosomal RNA (253 nucleotides) under uncultured bacterium. RNAcentral describes it as "partial 16S ribosomal RNA". It matches the Rfam family "Bacterial small subunit ribosomal RNA", at positions 524 to 776 of the family's 1533-position model. The record is from RNAcentral.
UACAGAGGCCACAAGCGUUAGGCGGAAUCACUGGGCUUAAAGCGUGUGUAGGCGGAUGUCUAAGUACCUUGUGAAAUCCCACAGCUCAACUGUGGAACUGCUGGGUAUACUGGACGUCUUGAGGUAUUCAGGGGCAACCGGAACAAAUGGUGGAGCGGUGAAAUGCGUAGAUAUCAUUUGGAACGCCUGUGGUGAAGACGGGUUGCUGGGAAUAUUCUGACGCUGAGACACGAAAGCCAGGGGAGCAAACGGG